This 2279-nucleotide ribosomal RNA is filed under the name Staphylococcus aureus M1450. RNAcentral's name for it is "bacterial LSU rRNA". It matches the Rfam family "Bacterial large subunit ribosomal RNA", at positions 642 to 2925 of the family's 2925-position model. RNAcentral also lists the same sequence under 1 other name. The record is from RNAcentral. Lineage: Bacteria; Bacillati; Bacillota; Bacilli; Caryophanales; Staphylococcaceae.
AAGGUUAAGCAGUAAAUGUGGAGCCGUAGCGAAAGCGAGUCUGAAUAGGGCGUUUAGUAUUUGGUCGUAGACCCGAAACCAGGUGAUCUACCCUUGGUCAGGUUGAAGUUCAGGUAACACUGAAUGGAGGACCGAACCGACUUACGUUGAAAAGUGAGCGGAUGAACUGAGGGUAGCGGAGAAAUUCCAAUCGAACCUGGAGAUAGCUGGUUCUCUCCGAAAUAGCUUUAGGGCUAGCCUCAAGUGAUGAUUAUUGGAGGUAGAGCACUGUUUGGACGAGGGGCCCCUCUCGGGUUACCGAAUUCAGACAAACUCCGAAUGCCAAUUAAUUUAACUUGGGAGUCAGAACAUGGGUGAUAAGGUCCGUGUUCGAAAGGGAAACAGCCCAGACCACCAGCUAAGGUCCCAAAAUAUAUGUUAAGUGGAAAAGGAUGUGGCGUUGCCCAGACAACUAGGAUGUUGGCUUAGAAGCAGCCAUCAUUUAAAGAGUGCGUAAUAGCUCACUAGUCGAGUGACACUGCGCCGAAAAUGUACCGGGGCUAAACAUAUUACCGAAGCUGUGGAUUGUCCUUUGGACAAUGGUAGGAGAGCGUUCUAAGGGCGUUGAAGCAUGAUCGUAAGGACAUGUGGAGCGCUUAGAAGUGAGAAUGCCGGUGUGAGUAGCGAAAGACGGGUGAGAAUCCCGUCCACCGAUUGACUAAGGUUUCCAGAGGAAGGCUCGUCCGCUCUGGGUUAGUCGGGUCCUAAGCUGAGGCCGACAGGCGUAGGCGAUGGAUAACAGGUUGAUAUUCCUGUACCACCUAUAAUCGUUUUAAUCGAUGGGGGGACGCAGUAGGAUAGGCGAAGCGUGCGAUUGGAUUGCACGUCUAAGCAGUAAGGCUGAGUAUUAGGCAAAUCCGGUACUCGUUAAGGCUGAGCUGUGAUGGGGAGAAGACAUUGAGUCUUCGAGUCGUUGAUUUCACACUGCCGAGAAAAGCCUCUAGAUAGAAAAUAGGUGCCCGUACCGCAAACCGACACAGGUAGUCAAGAUGAGAAUUCUAAGGUGAGCGAGCGAACUCUCGUUAAGGAACUCGGCAAAAUGACCCCGUAACUUCGGGAGAAGGGGUGCUCUUUAGGGUUAACGCCCAGAAGAGCCGCAGUGAAUAGGCCCAAGCGACUGUUUAUCAAAAACACAGGUCUCUGCUAAACCGUAAGGUGAUGUAUAGGGGCUGACGCCUGCCCGGUGCUGGAAGGUUAAGAGGAGUGGUUAGCUUCUGCGAAGCUACGAAUCGAAGCCCCAGUAAACGGCGGCCGUAACUAUAACGGUCCUAAGGUAGCGAAAUUCCUUGUCGGGUAAGUUCCGACCCGCACGAAAGGCGUAACGAUUUGGGCACUGUCUCAACGAGAGACUCGGUGAAAUCAUAGUACCUGUGAAGAUGCAGGUUACCCGCGACAGGACGGAAAGACCCCGUGGAGCUUUACUGUAGCCUGAUAUUGAAAUUCGGCACAGCUUGUACAGGAUAGGUAGGAGCCUUUGAAACGUGAGCGCUAGCUUACGUGGAGGCGCUGGUGGGAUACUACCCUAGCUGUGUUGGCUUUCUAACCCGCACCACUUAUCGUGGUGGGAGACAGUGUCAAGCGGGCAGUUUGACUGGGGCGGUCGCCUCCUAAAAGGUAACGGAGGCGCUCAAAGGUUCCCUCAGAAUGGUUGGAAAUCAUUCAUAGAGUGUAAAGGCAUAAGGGAGCUUGACUGCGAGACCUACAAGUCGAGCAGGGUCGAAAGACGGACUUAGUGAUCCGGUGGUUCCGCAUGGAAGGGCCAUCGCUCAACGGAUAAAAGCUACCCCGGGGAUAACAGGCUUAUCUCCCCCAAGAGUUCACAUCGACGGGGAGGUUUGGCACCUCGAUGUCGGCUCAUCGCAUCCUGGGGCUGUAGUCGGUCCCAAGGGUUGGGCUGUUCGCCCAUUAAAGCGGUACGCGAGCUGGGUUCAGAACGUCGUGAGACAGUUCGGUCCCUAUCCGUCGUGGGCGUAGGAAAUUUGAGAGGAGCUGUCCUUAGUACGAGAGGACCGGGAUGGACAUACCUCUGGUGUACCAGUUGUCGUGCCAACGGCAUAGCUGGGUAGCUAUGUGUGGACGGGAUAAGUGCUGAAAGCAUCUAAGCAUGAAGCCCCCCUCAAGAUGAGAUUUCCCAACUUCGGUUAUAAGAUCCCUCAAAGAUGAUGAGGUUAAUAGGUUCGAGGUGGAAGCAUGGUGACAUGUGGAGCUGACGAAUACUAAUCGAUCGAAGACUUAAUCAA